UUUGCGCUUCAGAGUCUGCAAAGGAGAUUGCGAGUCGCCGACAUCUCUGGAGGGCCGCGUGAAGCGAGUCGCCGUCGCUCCGACGGGGCCCCUUCGGCUACAAGAUUCCGUCCUCUGACUCCUCCGCCUAUGGCUGCCGGCCGGCUCUUCCCUCGAUCUCCAAUGCUUCCCGUUUAGGCAGCAGAAUUGAUCCUGGACCUCCUCCUCCUGAUGGUCUUCUUCUUCUUAGCCCUCACCCUCACCCUCUUCCUUUACCUGGGUGUCGAGUUCCCCAGGGCUUCCCCUCUCCUGUCGCCGCCGCCCAACAGGGCGUCAAUUUUCGUGGGUCGCAUCCUCCAUCACAGAUCGCUUCAUCGAUUAACUUUAUUUCUUUUGGCGGAAUACUUAUGGUAGUGCGAUUAAGCUGAUCCCUGAGAGGACGAAGUUUGGGGUUGCACUCGCGCGAUCUGCCGUAGAGCUCCAGGAGCGGCAGCAGUCUGUUCGAUUAGCUAGCUACUGACUCUAAAAGUGAGCAACCAAAUAAGGGAUUUAUGAUUGCUGCAUUUGCAAAAAAGCCAAGAACCACCAGCCUGUUUUGGGUGUUUCAUAAGUAGAUGCAUGAAUCAUCAUGUUGCAACAUCCAUGGAUGUUGCAUGAAGUCUUGCAAUUGCAAUCUACUUCAUCAUAUACAGGCAUGGUUUACCUUGGUGUCGAGUAACUGGAACAAAAGGAAUUUUUGCUGGCUCUUGAAGUCGCGGAGAAAGGUCUUUGAUUUCUAGAAGAUGGAUUGUGGACUGGAGCUGCUUCCAACAGAUAUAGGUGUUCUUAUGACCAACACCAGUAUAAAAUACAAUCAUCAUCCAAGUUGCUGCAAUGAUUGAAUGUCACUCAAUGAAAAACCAAUGGUGAGCUCCUUUGGAGGAGAGGGAGAGUUUAAUACUGGAGACCUUUGGCGGUUGGAGAUCGAGAGAAGUGGGAAAACAUGUAGACUAGACCAAAGGGUAAGACUGCAUCAUGUUGAUACUGGCGGUUAUCGACACAAGCAUGACGAGAUAUACGCGAAAAUGGACCACACAAAUCUCGGUUUCCAAGUGUCUUACUUAAAAAAAAAAAAAGAAUAAAUAAAACAACAUCACAAGAAAACUCCAGUGGAUGAGUCUCUUGAAUUUGUCAGAAGCAAUCUAUUAAUGUCCGGUUAGCGGAGCUGAGACUUUAUCUUUCGAUCAAUACAACCAAGUGAUGUGCUACAGAAAUAUUUUCUGCAUUACUUGCUGCUGGAGUGACUUCCAAAUGUAACUGACCUGAAAGCUUCAAUAAGAUGGCCUAUUGAGCUUGUGCACAUUCACCAGCAUGUCGAUCGUGAUAGUUCUCACAUGCAGCAACAUGACAGCAGCUAUUGAAGCGAUGAUUCGGAGUUAGCAUGAAGAAACUCUGUUAUUGGCAGUUUGUUCAAUCUCGAAGGAUCAGCAUAAAUCGCAUUGACUUGUGGACUGCCCUUCUCGGUAGAUCUCAGGCCCAAACUGCCAAGUUUGAGUCUUCUGCAAGUGAACGUCGUCAAUCUUUGGGCUCGACCUAUCGUUGAUGAAGUCCUCAGAAACGAAACCAUAAUUUCCCUCCUCUAUAAUCAAAGCUUUCAGCUCACGGGCUGUUCGGCAAAGGACUGCGAGGCUGCAGGGCUGGUCGGCUUAAUUUCCUGGCGCUCUCCAACCCUCUCCUCGCUGCUGUCAGAGGGUUAUCAAAUCAUAGCUGCCCAUCUCUAAUGCAGCAGGAAAACGAAGACUGAUAAGGCAGCUCGUGAGGCGAUGGUGAAUCCCACACACAAGCCGGGCCACCAACUUUUCGCUGAUCGAUGCUUUUAUCACUGCUGCUGCUACUGCUAUUACUGUUACCACUACUAUUUUUAUACAAAGCGAAUGUAUGAUAGAGGUGCUUCAUGUGAUGAUACAAAGAGGAGAGAUAUCAAAAUUUUCCUUGGAUGGUCCUCGUCUGAUGAGCCAGAAGGAAACCACAAGACCCAUCCCAUUUGCAAUUAUGUUGCUAUCUGAACGAAGAGGAGACUACUAAAGUGACUUCAACGUUUCUCCACGGAAAUAAAGGCGAUGGUACCGGUCCUUGACUUUCAUUUCCCAUGAACUGGUCCAAGGUUCGUGUACGUCUUCAUCAAUGGUGGAAAACUUAUCGAUUCCCAGUGAUCUGCUUGCCCUACAUGACUACGACAGGUAAGGAAACAACAGGCACUCUCGUGUGUAUGUAUGUGUGGCGUCCUAUUGAUUUCCCCACUGUCGAUGCUGCCAAAAUCAUUUUUAGAUAUUCAAAGGACAACAACGCAUGGCGUUUUCUCUCACGACAAGAUUUACAUUAUUGCUCACCUGUUAUUCAUAUAAUUUACUGCAUAAUCUAACAAAAUAAACAGAUAUGAGAUAAAUCAAUCCCCUUGAAACAAUGGGAUUUGAUCCUUUACUAUGUAUACUUGCUCGGGGAAAAGUUGAUUCCCAGCAUCAAUCCAAUUUACAUGGAAUUGAUGGAUGUUUGUUAA
This is a non-coding RNA of Musa acuminata subsp. malaccensis (wild Malaysian banana), 2515 nucleotides long. The record is from RefSeq and is a predicted model, not a curated record. Lineage: Eukaryota; Viridiplantae; Streptophyta; Magnoliopsida; Zingiberales; Musaceae.